Long non-coding RNA from Notothenia coriiceps (black rockcod), 885 nucleotides. RefSeq lists it as uncharacterized. The record is from RefSeq and is a predicted model, not a curated record. Lineage: Eukaryota; Metazoa; Chordata; Actinopteri; Perciformes; Nototheniidae. The transcript is spliced from 4 exons.
AGGAGGAAGGUGAGAAGGAGGAGGAGCUAGCAGAAGAGGAUGAAGCCAUGGAGGAAGACGAGGACAUGGUAGAGGAGGCGGAACAGGAAGAGGAGGCGGUGGAAGAAACAGACGAGGUCACGGAAGAAACACAGGCCCCUGCAGAGGAGGAGGAGGAGGAAGAAGAAGAACAGGAGGAAGAGGCUGAGUAGUUGACACCAGGGGGCGUCAUCGAUGUUAAAAUGUUAAUAUCCAGCCUGAAGGAGCCUCCCGUUACGUCUCUCCCUGACCCUUUGACGCUUGACCCCCCUCCACCCGUCCCCAAGGACCCCACUGGAAACUGAUGGCCAUGUGUUUGUAGGCGCCAAGUCAAAAGCUAAAGUCCUGACACGCAUAUCUCAUUUUCUUUUGACUGCAAUGUUGACUUAAUUUUUAUAUUUUGCCUUUUAGAGACGUACUGUAAUGAAAAUGCACAGAGUAGCCAAGUGGUGUCGAGUAGCUUUUGUAAAAUGCUAUUCAGUUAUUUUGGUAAAAAUCGAACGUAUUUCUCGUGUUUUUCUUGUAGAAAUUCUAGUUUUCUAACCGAGAAGAAGUGGCCUUUACACAUUUUUGUUGGUAUAGCUUAGAUGGUUUUGCCCCAUUUCAGAUUGAAACUCACGCUCUAGUGUGUUCUGAUCUUUUAUCAGUAGUUUUACCAAUGUCGUGGAUCCUUCGAUCAAGUGAAUGUACAAAUUCAAGACUUCCUAAAGGCAACAUGAGGAAAAAUACGCACAUACUGCACCACCACUAUAGUUACGUCUGCCAAUACUGCUGUCUAAUCAAUGCACUUUGUUGAAUAAGGAGUGAACCAUGUGACUAAGACUUGCAUGCAAUGGAAAAUGCAAUAAAGUAAACUGGUAAAAACGA